UGCUUUCUUCAACUGUUCGUGAUAAGAUGUCGGUGGUUCAAUCUUUAUAUCCCAUGGUGCUAAUGUAUCUUCUAGAGGCCAUAUAUCUGCUGGAAUAAUUCUAUUUACCUGGCCUCCAGAAGAUACAUUAGCACCAUGGGAUAUAAAGAUUGAACCACCGACACCUUAUCAAAAAUAGUUGAAGAAAGCAU
Molecule: microRNA precursor, 191 nt
Filed under: Gossypium raimondii (Peruvian cotton)
Lineage: Eukaryota; Viridiplantae; Streptophyta; Magnoliopsida; Malvales; Malvaceae
Description: miR8671 stem-loop (gra-MIR8671)
Source: miRBase by way of RNAcentral